This 745-nucleotide long non-coding RNA is filed under the name Mus musculus (house mouse). RNAcentral's name for it is "predicted gene, 32652". Lineage: Eukaryota; Metazoa; Chordata; Mammalia; Rodentia; Muridae. The record is from RNAcentral.
AGUCUGAGCUGGGCUCUGAAGAACCAGGCUGGCCCUACAUCUCUGAACUCAUGGAGAGGCUGGGGCAUACAUGACCCUGGAGCUUUUAUCAUGUCUAUCCUGUCACAUCGUAAGUCAGACUCAAAGCAUCAAUCACGUCACAGCCCUGGGGUACAGAAGCCACGCAGUUGGAGGAAACUAGCCUGAAUGACACCAGGAAAGGAAAGAGAUGGACUGUUCCAGACACCACCUUCAUAGAUGUUCCAGAAGAAACAAGGCAAUUUUAAUUCGUCUUUAGAGGCAGCCGCAGAGGCUUAUCACGGUAUAGUACCUGAAGAACGGGGAUACAGGGGUGGCCAUCCGGCUCAGUGAUGCUCUCAUUGUUCUUCACGUUGCUGCAUGAGGGAAUACAUGGCAAGCAGGGAGUUGUAAAACUUCCGAGGCAAGAUGGCACCGUGGUUGGUGAGAGAAGACUCUGUGACACGAGGAUUGUGACAAUGCAAAAUAGCCGCAUGGGGUGGACUUAUCAAUUGCUGGCAAUAUUACGCACACAAAUACCCAUUGCCUCAGCAAGUGUGCCUCUCAGAAACCGUUUCCAAGGAUGGACUGGCAAACUGACUCUGAAUUGUGUUUUGCCUUAGUACAGGUACUUUCAGCAGGCUACCAAUGAGCUACAUUCAAUAUUUUGAUUGUAGUUACAUAAUAGUGUAAGAGAAGAGGCACAAAUAUCUGUCAGCUUGGUUGAAUAAACUGUGGUACAAACACA